This 492-nucleotide ribosomal RNA is filed under the name uncultured bacterium. RNAcentral's name for it is "partial 16S ribosomal RNA". It matches the Rfam family "Bacterial small subunit ribosomal RNA", at positions 29 to 507 of the family's 1533-position model. The record is from RNAcentral.
AGUGAACGCUGGCGGUAGGCCUAACACAUGCAAGUCGAACGGCAGCACAUUAAGAGCUUGCCCGUACGGGUGGCGAGUGGCGGACGGGUGAGGAAUACAUCGGAAUCUACUCUUUCGUGGGGGACAACGAAGGGAAACUUACGCUAAUACCGCAUACGACCUACGGGUGAAAGCAGGGGAUCUUCGGACCUUGCGCGAUUGAAUGAGCCGAUGUCGGAUUAGCUAGUUGGCGGGGUAACGGCCCACCAAGGCGACGAUCCGUAGCUGGUCUGAGAGGAUGAUCAGCGACACUGGAACUGAGACACGGUCCAGACUCCUACGGGAGGCAGCAGUGGGGAAUAUUGGACAAUGGGCGCAAGCCUGAUCCAGCCAUACCGCGUGGGUGAAGAAGGCCUUCGGGUUGUAAAGCCCUUUUGUUGGGAAAGAAAAGCAGCAGGUUAAUACCCAGAUGUUCUGACGGUACCCAAAGAAUAAGCACCGGCUAACUUCGUG